AAGCCUUCCUUGAUUUCUUAAGCCUGGGUUGUGUGCCAUAGCAGAGACUCUUGUUGCCAUCCCCAGCCUUCCUUGAUGGUAGAACCCUGAUUUUGCUUGUGUUUUUGUGCCUGGUCCUAGAACUCAGCCUGUGUUUUCAGUCUGUUUGCCUGCUUCCCUGCCUCCUGGGGUAGAUGCCAGGAACUGGCUCACUCAGUAUUUAUUCCAGCCACAUUUUAUUUGUUUUUCUGUACUUCAGAGGAUGAAAAGCUACAUAUUGUAUCUUCCAAAACUCUUUUGCAGCUAGGAUUCUGGAUGUGAAUUAGGUCCUGCCCAUCCAGUACAUUUGUGCAAAACCUGAAUUCUCAGUGGUGUGAGGCAUCCUUCGUGCUGACACAUAUGCAGCAGAGGGCACAGACUUCCUGAGUCAGUCACUGCAGGGGCAGCUUCCACUGGGCCAGCAGUGUCCAGAUCAUGGGCAAGAGUAUCAGCUGCGUUGGCAGCCCAGAUCCAUGGAAUGACUUGUUCCCUGUAUAUCCAGCCUGAGUUUGUUUCAUCACAGUGAUUCUGUAAAUCACUCAUACCCUUUAAUAAGCCGCCUUCCUUUGAAACUAACUAGAGCAGAUGCCACAACCAAACCCAGGUUGAUAUACCUUCCUUACACCUGGGGGUGACCUUGUGACCCACUUCUGGCAAAGGAGAAAUAAAUAGAACACUUGGUUCCCAGGCUAGGGGUCGAAUCAGAGCUGUAGCUGGCACCGGUCUACGCCAGAGCCUCAGCAACGCAGGAUCUGAGCUGCAUCUUCAACCUACACCAUAGCUCAUGGCAAUGCUGGAUCCUUAACCCACUGAGUGAGGCCAGGGAUCGAACUCACAACCUCAUGGUUCCUAGUCGGAUUCGUCAACCACUGAGCCACGACGGGAACUCCAGUUCGGUCUUUCUUAUUUUCAGCUGAAUGCAAUUCCUAAGUGGUAUAGUAAGCAAUGAACAAUGCAUGCCAUAGUAUUAAGAAAAUAUUUGUGGAUCAACUGAUGAUUGAUGAACAGAAGCACUGAAGCAUGAAAUAGCUCUGUGUGUGUGUGUGUGUGUGUGUGUGUGUGCACUACAACUGAAAGUGUAAAAUAGGCUGUGGUGGAGGACAGCGGGCAGUGAUAUAGGUAGUGGUUUCAUAGACCAAGUCAAGGGGUUAGACCUGCUCUUACGUGAUGAAUUUGAGCAAGUACUUUACAUCCUCAGGUCUGCAUUUUUGAUAGAUUACUUGAAUGCAGCUAAUACUGAAGGCAGUGAAAACUGCUAAGUAUGCAGAUUGGGAGGUGAAAGAUGAUGAAUACUUGCAAUAAUUAUUGCAUACUUUUGAGAAUGUAAGUAUAUCAUUAGGGAAGUUCUUUCAUGUGGAAUUGCUAGGUCAGAAUGUGUACACUUGAGAAAUAUUGCCAACCUGUAUUUAAAAAGCUCAUAUAGUCUAGUGGUGCUAUGAUCCUCAUUUUCCCACCUACAUCAGAGCGGGCAUUUUACAUUUGCAUCAUUCUUUAUUUUCCUCCACAUUCUCCAUUUAAUAUUAUCU
RNAcentral lists this long non-coding RNA (1544 nucleotides) under Sus scrofa (pig). Its description in RNAcentral is "lncRNA (ENSSSCG00025020487.1)". The record is from RNAcentral. Lineage: Eukaryota; Metazoa; Chordata; Mammalia; Artiodactyla; Suidae.